GAUGAACGCUGGCGGCGUGCCUAAUACAUGCAAGUCGAGCGAACAGAUGAGAAGCUUGCUUCUCUGAUGUUAGCGGCGGACGGGUGAGUAACACGUGGGUAACCUACCUAUAAGACUGGGAUAACUCCGGGAAACCGGGGCUACUACCGGAUAAUCUUUUGAACCGCAAGGUUCGAUAGUAAAAGACGGGUUCGGCUGUCACUUCUAGUUGGACCCGCGCCGUAUUAGCUAGUUGGUAAGGUAACGGCUUACCAAGGCGACGAUACGUAGCCGACCUGAGAGGGUGAUCGGCCACACUGGAACGGAGACACGGUCCAGACUCCUACGGGAGGCAGCAGUAGGGAAUCUUCCGCAAUGGGCGAAAGCCUGACGGAGCAACGCCGCGUGAGUGAUGAAGGUCUUCGGAUCGUAAAACUCUGUUGUUGGGGAAGAACAAAUUUGUUAGUAACUGAACAAGUCUUGACGGUACCUAACCAGAAAGCCACGGCUAACUACGUGCCAGCAGCCGCAGUAA
Molecule: ribosomal RNA, 514 nt
Filed under: uncultured bacterium
Lineage: Bacteria
Description: partial 16S ribosomal RNA
Rfam family: Bacterial small subunit ribosomal RNA
Source: RNAcentral